UACGGGGGGGGCAAGCGUUGUUCGGAAUUAUUGGGCGUAAAGAGCUCGUAGGCGGUCUGUCACGUCGGCUGUGAAAACCCGAGGCUCAACCUCGGGCCUGCAGUCGAUACGGGCAAACUAGAGUACUGCAGGGGAGACUGGAAUUCCUGGUGUAGCGGUGAAAUGCGCAGAUAUCAGGAGGAACACCGGUGGCGAAGGCGGGUCUCUGGCCCGGUACUGACGCUGAGGUGCGAAAGCGUGGGGAGCAAACAGG
RNAcentral lists this ribosomal RNA (253 nucleotides) under uncultured bacterium. Its description in RNAcentral is "partial 16S ribosomal RNA". It matches the Rfam family "Bacterial small subunit ribosomal RNA", at positions 524 to 776 of the family's 1533-position model. The record is from RNAcentral.